AUACGGAGGAUCCGAGCGUUAUCCGGAUUUAUUGGGUUCAAAGGGUGCGCAGGCGGCCAUUUAAGUCAGCGGUUAAAUCGUGGGGCUCAACCCCAUUCUGCCGUUGAUACUGGGUGGCUUGAUUGCGGUCGAGGUUGGCGGAAUUCGUUGUGUAGCGGGGAAAUGCAUAGAUAUGACGAAGAACACCGAUUGCGUAGGCAGCUGACCAGACCGCAAAUGACGCUCAUGCACGAAAGUGCGGGGAUCGAACAGGAUUAGAUACCCUGGUAGUCCGCACAGUAAACGAUGAAUACUUGUUUUCGGCGAUAUAAUGUCGGAGGCAAAGCGAAAGCGAUAAGUAUUCCACCUGGGGAGUACGCCGGCAACGGUGAAACUCAAAUGAAUUGGCGGGG
This 392-nucleotide ribosomal RNA is filed under the name uncultured bacterium. RNAcentral's name for it is "partial 16S ribosomal RNA". It matches the Rfam family "Bacterial small subunit ribosomal RNA", at positions 523 to 918 of the family's 1533-position model. The record is from RNAcentral.